RNAcentral lists this ribosomal RNA (409 nucleotides) under Actinomycetes bacterium. RNAcentral describes it as "Actinobacteria bacterium partial 16S ribosomal RNA". It matches the Rfam family "Bacterial small subunit ribosomal RNA", at positions 355 to 776 of the family's 1533-position model. Lineage: Bacteria; Bacillati; Actinomycetota; Actinomycetes. The record is from RNAcentral.
UGGGGAAUAUUGCACAAUGGGCGGAAGCCUGAUGCAGCGACGCCGCGUGGGGGAUGAAGGCCUUCGGGUUGUAAACUCCUUUCGACAGGGACGAAGCUUUUGUGACGGUACCUGUAUAAGAAGCACCGGCUAACUACGUGCCAGCAGCCGCGGUAAUACGUAGGGUGCGAGCGUUGUCCGGAAUUACUGGGCGUAAAGAGCUCGUAGGUGGUUUGUCGCGUCGUCUGUGAAAUUCCGGGGCUUAACUCCGGGCGUGCAGGCGAUACGGGCUGACUUGAGUGCUGUAGGGGAGACUGGAAUUCCUGGUGUAGCGGUGAAAUGCGCAGAUAUCAGGAGGAACACCGUUGGCGAAGGCAGGUCUCUGGGCAGUAACUGACGCUGAGGAGCGAAAGCAUGGGUAGCGAACAGG